This 253-nucleotide ribosomal RNA is filed under the name uncultured bacterium. Its description in RNAcentral is "partial 16S ribosomal RNA". It matches the Rfam family "Bacterial small subunit ribosomal RNA", at positions 524 to 776 of the family's 1533-position model. The record is from RNAcentral.
GACGAACCAUGCAAACGUUAUUCGGAAUUACUGGGCUUAAAGCGUGCGUAGGCGGCUCAGAAAGUUGGGUGUGAAAUCCCUCGGCUCAACCGAGGAAUUGCGCCCAAAACUACUGAGCUCGAGGGAGUUAGAGGUGAGCGGAACUCACGGUGGAGCGGUGAAAUGCGUAGAUAUCGGAAGGAACAUCAGUGGCGAAGGCGGCUACCUGGACAGAUACUGACGCUGAGGCGCGAGAGCGUGGGGAGCAAACAGG